AACCCGGUAGCGCUGAGAGAGCAGACUGUGGAGCACCAGCAGCGUCAGAGGUGGCUGUGCUGGGUUGGCAUUUAUGACAAUAUCACGGAGGGCACCCUGGUCCUACAGUACACAAGGUGAAGAUGGAUAUAAAUCCGGAAAUGUUCAACAGUAGUGGAGCGUUGUCCUGGUAUCCAUUGAACAGCUUUGCCGAUGUUACUAAAUGCAGAGAAGGCAGUUCAAUAGCAGGCUGUAGCCUGUAGAGAGCAGUGGUGCUGCAGUUUUCAGCUCAACCUGACGUAUUUACCUCCUCAAAUGUUAGGAUCUGCUCACCCUCUACUCCAAUUUUCCCAUCGCUGUCGUCAUCAGCAGCCUUCAGGAAGCCCUGGGUCUCUUUAUCUGUCAGGACACGAGCACCAGGAGAAAACCUCUGCAGGAAAAACCUGUCAGACGCAGAACAACACACGGAGCUGACCAUGUGGACACGAUAAAGCAGAAAAAAGCGGCAAUGGCGUCUCACUCACUUAAGCUCUUCCUCCUCGAUAAACCCACUGGCAUCAUUGUCCAGGAUCUCAAAGACCUUCUUCACAUCCUGAGAGCUCUUGUCGCUG
Cynoglossus semilaevis (tongue sole) is the source of this 590-nucleotide long non-coding RNA. RefSeq lists it as uncharacterized. The transcript is spliced from 4 exons. The record is from RefSeq and is a predicted model, not a curated record. NCBI's taxonomy places the organism in Eukaryota, Metazoa, Chordata, Actinopteri, Pleuronectiformes, Cynoglossidae.